GGGGGGGGGGGGGGGGGGGGCUGGCGGGGGGAGGGGGGGGGGGGGGGGGGGGCUUGCGGCUGGAUUCAGCGGCGGACGGGUGAGUGAUGGCUAGGAAUCUGCCUGGUGGUGGGGGAUGAGGUCGGGAAGCGGGCGCUAAUACCGCAUACGGCCUGAGGGAGAACGGGGGGGAUCUUCGGACCUCACGCGAUCAGGUGAGGCUAGGUCGGAUUAGCUAGUUGGUGGGGUAAAGGCCUACCAAGGCGACGAUCCGUAACUGGUCUGAGAGGAUGAUCAGUCACACUGGAACUGAGACACGGUCCAGACUCCUACGGGAGGCAGCAGUGGGGAAUAUUGGACAAUGGGCGAAAGCCUGAUCCAGCCAUGCCGCGUGUGUGAAGAAGGUCUUCGGAUUGUAAAGCACUUUAAGUUGGGAGGAAGGGCAGUAAGUUAAUACCUUGCUGUUUUGACGUUACCAACAGAAUAAGCACCGGCUAACUUCGUG
RNAcentral lists this ribosomal RNA (484 nucleotides) under uncultured bacterium. RNAcentral's name for it is "partial 16S ribosomal RNA". The stretch from base 52 to 484 matches the Rfam family "Bacterial small subunit ribosomal RNA", at positions 35 to 507 of the family's 1533-position model. The record is from RNAcentral.